Molecule: ribosomal RNA, 468 nt
Filed under: uncultured bacterium
Lineage: Bacteria
Description: partial 16S ribosomal RNA
Rfam family: Bacterial small subunit ribosomal RNA
Source: RNAcentral
GACGAACGCUGGCGGCGUGCUUAACACAUGCAAGUCGAACGGAAAGGCCCUGCUUUUGUGGGGUGCUCGAGUGGCGAACGGGUGAGUAACACGUGAGUAACCUGCCCUUGACUUUGGGAUAACUUCAGGAAACUGGGGCUAAUACCGGAUAGGAGCUCCUGCUGCAUGGUGGGGGUUGGAAAGUUUCGGCGGUCGGGGAUGGACUCGCGGCUUAUCAGCUUGUUGGUGGGGUAGUGGCUUACCAAGGCUUUGACGGGUAGCCGGCCUGAGAGGGUGACCGGCCACAUUGGGACUGAGAUGCGGCCCAGACUCCUACGGGAGGCAGCAGUGGGGAAGAUUGCACAAUGGGCGGAAGCCUGAUGCAGCAACGCCGCGGGCUGGAUGACGACCUUCGGGUUGUAGACCGCUUUCGCCUGUGACGAAGCGUGAGUGACGGUAAUGGGUAGAGAAGCACCGGCUAACUACGUG